UCCGCUUCUGGGCCUUUUGGCUAAGAUCAAGUGUAGUAUCUGUUCUUAUCAGUUUAAGCCACUCAGCCUGUGGUAUUUGUCAUACCAUCUCCAACUGAGGAAGACAACAAAGUACAGUGUUACUUCUUCAGUCAGAUUCUCAAUUUGUAAGAGAUAAAUCUGUAAAUCAGGAUAUUAUCUACCCCAA
This is a small nuclear RNA of Leptonychotes weddellii (Weddell seal), 187 nucleotides long. RefSeq annotates it as U2 spliceosomal RNA. The record is from RefSeq and is a predicted model, not a curated record. NCBI's taxonomy places the organism in Eukaryota, Metazoa, Chordata, Mammalia, Carnivora, Phocidae.